UGCUGUCAUCUCUGCUCUGCAGAAAACCUCCAUAGGCCACCUGAAGAACACGUGGGCGGAUGUUUCCCGGGAGAGCUCUGAAAAACUUAAGGAGCUCUAUAGCCAUGACAAGUCCUUGAGAAGAGAAUUGAUGACCAAGAUUAACAAGCAGAGGGAUCUGUUUGGUCCACGGGCGGGUGGGGUGCCAUUUGUGGGCACGAGGCCCUGGUCCUGGGACUCGGUGGUGUUGGCUGGGCUGUUCCAGGAGGAGUUGCCGAGCUGGCACCAUCAAUAGGAGGGGCCCUCCACGUUUGCCUCCCCGGAGAUCAUCCCCCAGAGAGUGCAGGAGAAGCAGCAGCAGCGGCAGGUGAGUGUGCCCGUGGGGGAGUGGCUCUGCCUUCCCAGCUGGAGGCCUCAAAUCAAGAGAGGAGGGCCCUUCCUCCUGGUGCCACAGUGCCUGAGUCCCCUAGUAGAAGUGACCAGGAGGGGGGCCUGGAAGAGCUGGUGCAGGAUGGGUUGUUGUGGGGAGGGCCAGGGACCGCAUACCCUGUGAUUUGCCAGAAGCCAGCCCUGGGAGGUGAGGAGGAGGAGUGUGGGUGUUCUUGCGGUGUGAAGGGAGGAAGAAUUGAGGGGAGGCUGCUAAGGGUCCUAGGCUGCUCCCCGUGGGAACCCUGGGGUAGGCCAGGAGGCUGAGGGUGAGGACUUUUCAGGGGAGGGUCUGCACGGGGACGACUUGAGAGCAAGGGCUCAUCUCACCCGAACCCCCAUGUGACAGGGUGUCGUCCCCUAUUUUGGCACUUUCCUCGGUGACCUGCUGAUGCUGCACCUGGCGAUGGGUGAUUAUCUCGAGGGGAAUGAGAUCAACCUUCAGAAAAGGACUGAGGAAUAUCGAGUCAUGAGGGAGAUCCUGCUGCUCCAGGUGGCCGCAAAGAAUUACAACCUAGAGCCCGAGGAGCGAUUUGGGGCCUGGUUCCAGGACAUGCAGCUGCUCAAUGAGAAUGAUAGCUACAGCCUGUCCUGCCAGCUAGGGCCCCAGGCCUAGUUGGCCAGCAGAAUACUCAAGGCCAAGAAGAACCGGCCAUCAUCAAGGUCAGCGGCGAAGAUUUGUGAUGCAGCUUUUAAGGCUACAUCUGGGCCUCCUUCCAUCAUGUCUAUGCUGCCUACACACUAGGCUCUCCAGCAUCCCUGCACGUACUUAUGUAAUGCUGUUUCAGGAGGAAAUGUCCUGGAGGCCCCAGCCUCUGUCAGGCCAUGAGAUGACCUGAAUGCAGAUAUAGUGGGAUUCAUCACCUCUGCAUCCUUCAGUCCUCGGUGGUGGUCCUAAUCUCUGCAGCCCCUCCAGGAAUGCGACACUCGGAUCAACUAGCUACCACCAUAGGUUUCUGUGAGUCAAAUGGAUUCUCAUUAUUGCCUUGACUCCACUAUCCAUUACAGAAACCAUAACCACCUUGUCUCUUGAGAUUCAGUGCCUCUGCUUGGUCUCUGCUGCCCCGGGAUCCAGGUGUCCUCACUGCAUAUCAAGAUCCCAGGUCACUGGCAGCAGUUCCACUGUAAUGUCUGCCCUAAAGAGGAGAGUGGCCACAGAGCUCUUCACGGACUCUGGGGCUGCCCUCAUGAAUUUAUUUCCACAGCAGUAGUGCAAGUGUGUCCUCUGGACCCUGUUGGGGUGGGUAGGCAUGUCUUACAUGAUAAAUACACUCUAACGUUCCAACCACCUAAGCCUUGGAUACCUUCUUCUAUAGGAGACCAAGGAAGGUCAGCCUCACUUAGUGUAUUCCCGGCAACCAAUGACACUGCUGGAACUCUUUGUGCCCUCUCAAGACACAGCAAAGAGUAGAGAAUCUCUGCUUAGUGGGCCCAUAUCAAUAAAUUAGACCGGAUCCAACUUUAUGUUCCUUCCGCCAUUAUCCAAACCCCUUAAUAGCCAUUUGCACACAGUUUUCCUAGAUUUGUUUCUGUAUACACUGGGGAAAGGAUGCAGCUAUUUUGGAACGUAGCACAACUCCUCAUGGGUCAUAUUUUACACUUCAGUCUCUGGGACAUGCUGGGAAUUGAGGCUACUAGGUCUAGUAGCAAAUGGGACUGGUGGGUGUAGGUCCUCAGGAGAAUCAGCAGUACUUGCAAGGCAGCUUCCCGGGGGAGACCAUUACCGAGUCCUUAGGAAAAGCAGAGUUCACCCCCUCACGCAGGGCUGGGAGGGCUUCUUCGUUGGCAAAGAAGACUGUACAAUCUUAUAAUCAUUUUUAUUCCCAUAGAGGUGGUAGUAAUAUCCAACUUUCAUUUCUGGUUAUAAUAAUUUUAUCCAUUUUCUUUUUUGCUGGUUAGUCUAGCUAAAAGUUUGCCAAUUUUAUUGCUUUUUUCCUAGAAAACACUUUUGAUUUGACUGAUUUUCCCUCUUGUUUUCCUGUUCUUUAUUUCACCUCUGCUCUUAUAUUUAUUAUAAGCCUCUUUUUGCUGGUUUCAGGGUUGGUUUACUCUUCGUUUUCUACUCUUCAAGGUGUAAAGUUAGGUUAUGGUUUUGAGAUCUUUCUUCUUCUAAUGUAGGCAUUUACAACUAUAAAUUUCCCAGUGAGCGUUUCUUUUUCUGCAUCCCAUGAGUUUGGUAGGUUGUAUUUUCAUUUUCAUUUUAUUCAAGGUGUUUUCUAGUGUCCCUCAUAUUUUCAACUUUCAUCCACUGGGUGUUAAUGCUGUAUUGUUUAAUUUUUAUGUAUUUAUGAUUUUUUCCAGUUUUCUUCCUGUUCUUGAUUUCUAAUUUCACUCCACUGUGAUUAGAAAUUAUAUUUUAUUUGAUUUCAAUGUUUUAAAAAUUUGCUAAGACUUGUUUGGGGGCCUAAAAUAUGGUCUCUCCUGGGGAAUGUUCCAUAUGCACUUGAGAAGAAUACAUAUUCUGCUGUUUUGGGUGGAAGGUUAAGUCUAAUUGAUUAUGGU
Molecule: RNA transcript, 2907 nt
Organism: Diceros bicornis minor
Lineage: Eukaryota; Metazoa; Chordata; Mammalia; Perissodactyla; Rhinocerotidae
Gene name: ral guanine nucleotide dissociation stimulator-like
Exons: 10
Source: RefSeq, a predicted model, not a curated record